GGCGGGAUCGCUGAAAAACCGGUCUCAGUUCGGAUCGCAGUCUGCAACUCGACUGCGUGAAGGCGGAGUCGCUAGUAAUCGCGGAUCAGCAACGCCGCGGUGAAUGCGUUCCCGGGCUUGUACACACCGCCCGUCAAGUCAUGAAAGUGGGUAGCACCCGAAGCCGGUGGCCCGACCCUCGUGGGGGGGAGCCGUCUAAGGUGAGACUCGUGAUUGGGACUAAGUCGUAACAAGGUAGC
Molecule: ribosomal RNA, 239 nt
Filed under: uncultured bacterium
Lineage: Bacteria
Description: partial 16S ribosomal RNA
Rfam family: Bacterial small subunit ribosomal RNA
Source: RNAcentral